CGCAACCCCUGCUUUCAGUUACCAACGGGUCAUGCCGGGAACUCUGGAGAGACUGCCCAGGAGAACGGGGAGGAAGGUGGGGAUGACGUCAAGUCAGCAUGGCCUUUAUGCCUGGGGCCACACACGUGCUACAAUGGCCGGUACAAAGCGCUGCCAACCCGCAAGGGGGAGCCAAUCGCAAAAAACCGGCCUCAGUUCAGAUUGAGGUCUGCAACUCGACCUCAUGAAGGCGGAAUCGCUAGUAAUCGCGGAUCAGCACGCCGCGGUGAAUACGUUCCCGGGCCUUGUACACACCGCCCGUCACACCACGAAAGUUUGUUGUACCUGAAGUCGUUGGCGCCAACCGCAAGGAGGCAGACGCCCACGGUAUGACCGAUGAUUGGGGUGAAGUCGUAACAAGGUAAAGGG
RNAcentral lists this ribosomal RNA (408 nucleotides) under uncultured bacterium. Its description in RNAcentral is "bacterial SSU rRNA". It matches the Rfam family "Bacterial small subunit ribosomal RNA", at positions 1097 to 1503 of the family's 1533-position model. The record is from RNAcentral.